This 253-nucleotide ribosomal RNA is filed under the name uncultured bacterium. RNAcentral's name for it is "partial 16S ribosomal RNA". It matches the Rfam family "Bacterial small subunit ribosomal RNA", at positions 524 to 776 of the family's 1533-position model. The record is from RNAcentral.
UACAGAGGGGGCAAGCGUUGUUCGGAAUUACUGGGCGUAAAGGGCGCGUAGGCGGCCUGUUAAGUCGAACGUGAAAUCCCCAGGCUCAACCUGGGAACUGCGUCUGAUACUGGAUGGCUUGAAUCCGGGAGAGGGAUGCAGAAUUCCAGGUGUAGCGGUGAAAUGCGUAGAUAUCUGGAGGAAUACCGGUGGCGAAGGCGGCAUCCUGGACCGGCAUUGACGCUGAGGAGCGAAAGCCAGGGGAGCAAACGGG